CAAUAGCGUAUAUUAAAGCUGUUGCGGUUAAAAAGCUCGUAGUUGGAUUUCUGUCAAGGACAACUGGUCCGCCCUCCGGGUGAGCACAUAGUUUGGUCUUGGCAUCUUGCUGGAAGCUGUUGCUGCACUUGGCUGUGUGGCGCAGCGUCCAGCACUUUCACUUUGAGGAAAUUGGAGUGUUUCAAGCAGGCACAUGCCUUUGGACACAGUAGCAUGGAAUAAUUAGAUUGGGCUUUUGCUCCAAUUUGUCGGUUUCUGGAGCUGAGGUGAGAAUUAAUGGGGAUCGUUGGGGGCAUCCGAAUUUAGCCGUCAGAGGUGAAAUUCUUGGAUCUGCUAAAGACGGACAACUGCGAAAGCGUUUGCCCAGGAUGUUUUCAUUGA
RNAcentral lists this ribosomal RNA (381 nucleotides) under uncultured eukaryote. RNAcentral describes it as "partial 18S ribosomal RNA". It matches the Rfam family "Eukaryotic small subunit ribosomal RNA", at positions 592 to 976 of the family's 1831-position model. The record is from RNAcentral.